RNAcentral lists this long non-coding RNA (1960 nucleotides) under Nicotiana tabacum (common tobacco). Its description in RNAcentral is "long non-coding RNA (NTAB_LNC014008)". The record is from RNAcentral. Lineage: Eukaryota; Viridiplantae; Streptophyta; Magnoliopsida; Solanales; Solanaceae.
ACCUUGAAAACUAGUUUUGUUUUCUACAACUGAAAUUGUUUAAUAUAAUAUGACAACAUGAAUCACACAUCUUAGGUCAAGUUACGGUAUGUGAUCAUCUUCAACAUGAAUAUACAUCUUACGUCAAAUUGCAGGGAUACACAGAUAGCACUGCAGCUUCAUAUUUCCUAUGGAAGUGUAUUCUUACAUUCUACUACAGAAAUAUAAUCCCAGAGAGGGGGUUUGCUCACAAGCUGAAGACUGCCUGCUCUCCUGAACUAUGCUUAAAUUAUACUGAAAAAUAUAUAUAAUCCUGCUUUCCCCAAGGAAGAGGGAACUUAUGCACAUAGUGAAGAUUGCCUGCUCUCCCGAACUACGAUUGGAACUCAAGGACUGCUUCUCCUGCAAAACAGACAGGAGGAACCAAUGACAAUGUCACCAUAAUACUGCCUAUGAGAUGAUCUUGGGGAUGAUAGGUCAAUAAAUAGCUGGCAGAACAACCACCAUCAUUAAGGAAGAGGGAAGUCAGGGAACUUAUGCACAUAGUGAAGAUUGCCUGCUCUCCCGAACUACGGUUGACUCAAGGACUGCUUCUCCUGCAAAACAGACCGGAGGAACCAAUCACAAAGUCACCAUAAUACUGCCUAUGAGAUGAUCUUGGGGAUGAUAGGUCAAUAAAUAGCUGGCAGAACAACCACCAUCAUUACAACAACAAUAACAACAACAACAACCCAGUAAAAUCCCACAAGUGGGGUAUGGGGAAGGUAGAGUGUACGCAGACCUUACCCCUACCCCAAGGGGGUAGAGAGGCUGUUUCCGAUAGACCCUCGGCUCAAGGAGACGAAAAAGGAGACAAAAAAGACAAUAUAUUAGUACCAUCAACAGAAACCAUAGAAAUAAUAACAGCAUCACAAGUACCAGAAAAUAGAUGAAAAACAGUAACAAUAACACGUAAGUAUGGCUUGGUACUAUGAAAAGUGAAAGAAUAGUGUGGACACAACAAUAAUCACUAGCAGUCUAAGACACAACCUUAUCAGACUAGUCUCUCAACCGGUACCAAGUAGAAAAGAGCUCCACUACCUCCUAACCUACAACCCUAAUGCUCGACCUUCACACCUUCCUAUCAAGGGGCAUGUCCUCGGAAAUCUGAAGCUUCGCCAUGUCCUGCCUGAUCACCUCCCUUAACACUUCUUGGGCCGUCCUCUACCUCUUCUCGUACUCGUCAAAGCCAACCGCUCACAUCUCCUUAAUGGGGCACUCGAACUUCUCCUUCGCACGUGCCCGAACCAUCUGAGCCUUGCUUCCCGCAUCUUGUCAUCCAUCGGAGCCACGCCCACCUCUCCCGAAUAUCUUCAUUCCUAAUCUUAUCCAUCCUAGUGUGCCCGCACAUCCACCUCAACAUCCUCAUUUCUACUAAACAACCACCAUCAUUAAGGAAUAAAAUAUUUGCACCGAGAUAAAUAACAUGCUUUAUAAUCUAUUUGUUCACUGGAAGAACCAUAGACGAUAAAGGCAAGGAGCUGAUUUAUUGAUAUGAUGUCCAUUAGCCAUGAUUUCAACUAGCAUCUCCCCGUGGUUAACUGGUUAUCAAUUAUCGUCUUCCAAGACGAUAUUUCCUCCUCUACUAGUUGCUUUUUCUUUUUCCUCAGCUCGAUUUGUUAUUCUGUUUCGAAGCAAACUCAGGGUGGCGCUGUGAGAUCAAACUCUUCUGUGGCUGAAGGGGUGACUAGUCUCUAUCUCGUCCUUGGAGAUUGGAGUUAAUCAAGUUUAUGGUGAGCUAGAGCCACAACACGAGAGAUGUAACUAAUAUUCAAAUCUUAGACAAUAUCACUGAUCCUAAGCUAGCGUUUGGCCAUAGAUUCCCAAAUUUAUUCUGAAAAAUCUGAUUUGGGUGAAGUUUGGUUUGAAGAUGAAAAUGUGUUUGAACAUCAGUUUUCAAAACAUAUUUCCCAAAUUUAUUUUGGAAAAACAUGAAACAUGA